GACGAACGCUGGCGGCGUGCUUAACACAUGCAAGUCGAACGGAAAGGCCCUGCUUUUGUGGGGUGCUCGAGUGGCGAACGGGUGAGUAACACGUGAGUAACCUGCCCUUGACUUUGGGAUAACUUCAGGAAACUGGGGCUAAUACCGGAUAGGAGCUCCUGCUGCAUGGUGGGGGUUGGAAAGUUUCGGCGGUUGGGGAUGGACUCGCGGCUUAUCAGCUUGUUGGUGGGGUAGUGGCUUACCAAGGCUUUGACGGGUAGCCGGCCUGAGAGGGUGACCGGCGACAUUGGGACUGAGAUACGGCCCAGACGCCUACGGGAGGCAGAAGUGGGGAAUAUUGCACAAUGGGCGGAAGCCUGAUGCAGCAACGCCGCGUGCGGGAUGACGGCCUUCGGGUUGUAAACCGCUUUCGCCUGUGACGAAGCGUGAGUGACGGUAAUGGGUAAAGAAGCACCGGCUAACUACGUG
Molecule: ribosomal RNA, 468 nt
Filed under: uncultured bacterium
Lineage: Bacteria
Description: partial 16S ribosomal RNA
Rfam family: Bacterial small subunit ribosomal RNA
Source: RNAcentral